AGUCAAACAGGUGACAACCACACUUGGCGUUAACUGGAAGCUACACACUCCAUACCAUCCGCAGUCUUCUGGAAAAGUGGAAUGCGCCAACGGCCUUGUCAAACAACACCUAAUCAAAUUGGCUCUCGAGAAGCGCCAAUCGUGGAUCAACUGAGAUGCAAAACCCAUGUUCACAUCAUGAGUGAGUCUUCUAACUCGGACAAUGCAAUCAACAAAUUCUAAGACCAAAUUCCGGUGGCACUGGCUCCAAAGGCCCCAGGGAAAAUAAACUAAUCAAGACUACUUUAAUUUUUUAAAUAUGAAACCUGCGGAAAAUCAUGAAAAAUAGUAACACAAUUCCACCAUUUUCUACGAAAAAAUACUGAAAGGGUUAUUAACUUGAAUGUCCAAUAGACAGCUGAAUUAGAUAUGAAGUUGCAUAAAGAGAGUAGCCAAAUCAAAAUAUAUAAGUUUUAAAAGGCAAUAUCCAGGACUUCAAACAUGGAAAGAGUUACACGAGAGAAAAGAGGAUUUUGAGAGAUUGCUGCUUCAUUUGCAUGCUCAGCAAAACCUCACGGAGCACUGACGUUUUGAGUCAUCCCUCUAAUCAUCUAGCAUCCAACGCUCCUGAGUGUGGAAGGAGGUGAACAGGGAAAAGCAGAGAGGACAAAAGUCACAUCCCCUCCCCACAGACCCAUACUGGGGAAGGGUGGAAGAUUUAGCUGCGAGUCAAGUUCAGAAUUUUGAUUAACAUCUUGGCAUGCACAUUCGAAUUUCAGAAUCAAGACUGUUGGCCAUAAAAAAUGACUAUAGCCUUGUGUAUUACCUGAACUGAGCAGUAAAAAAAAAGUCAUGGUCCUUCUGGGGCUUUUAUUCUGAGACAGGAACCCUGAACAGGCAGGAGAAAGGGAAUGUUGACAGAGAAACAAAGACAGUUGGCGACACACGCUGACCGCCAUGCGGACGUCCAUCAAACCCAGCACUGGCCCUGGGUACGUGCGCCUUUGCUAUUACCCCAAUACAUUUUCUUCUGCAGAGCAAGCAACAGAACACAUGCAGACCUUAAUAAAUACCACUGGGUAAUGUGACAAUGGCCAAACUCUCCUCACGGGGGAGAGAGUGUCCCCCAGUUUUGCUCCCUUUUAAUUUCCAGGGUUCAUAAGUAGCUCUAAAGCUUUGCUCUACAAGGUUGAUACAUACGAUAUUAAUGUUUCCCCUAAGCAGUAUAACAUAAAUAUAUUUGCUAUCU
This 1228-nucleotide long non-coding RNA is filed under the name Homo sapiens (human). RNAcentral describes it as "long intergenic non-protein coding RNA 1287". Lineage: Eukaryota; Metazoa; Chordata; Mammalia; Primates; Hominidae. The record is from RNAcentral.